RNAcentral lists this ribosomal RNA (461 nucleotides) under uncultured beta proteobacterium. RNAcentral describes it as "bacterial SSU rRNA". It matches the Rfam family "Bacterial small subunit ribosomal RNA", at positions 200 to 642 of the family's 1533-position model. Lineage: Bacteria; Pseudomonadati; Pseudomonadota; Betaproteobacteria. The record is from RNAcentral.
AGGAAAGCAGGGGAUCGCAAGACCUUGCGCUUUUGGAGCAGCCGAUGUCUGAUUAGCUAGUUGGUGAGGUAAAGGCUUACCAAGGCUUCGAUCAGUAGCUGGUCUGAGAGGACGACCAGCCACACUGGGACUGAGACACGGCCCAGACUCCUACGGGAGGCAGCAGUGGGGAAUUUUGGACAAUGGGGGCAACCCUGAUCCAGCCAUGCCGCGUGAGUGAAGAAGGCCUUCGGGUUGUAAAGCUCUUUCAGCCGGAACGAAAAGGUUACGGUUAAUACCCGUGACUAAUGACGGUACCGGAAGAAGAAGCACCGGCUAACUACGUGCCAGCAGCCGCGGUAAUACGUAGGGUGCGAGCGUUAAUCGGAAUUACUGGGCGUAAAGCGUGCGCAGGCGGUUUUGUAAGUCAGAUGUGAAGUCCCCGGGCUUAACCUGNGAACUGCGUUUGAAACUACAAAGCU